RNAcentral lists this ribosomal RNA (468 nucleotides) under uncultured bacterium. RNAcentral's name for it is "partial 16S ribosomal RNA". It matches the Rfam family "Bacterial small subunit ribosomal RNA", at positions 28 to 507 of the family's 1533-position model. The record is from RNAcentral.
GACGAACGCUGGCGGCGUGCUUAACACAUGCAAGUCGAACGGAAAGGCCCUGCUUUUGUGGGGUGCUCGAGUGGCGAACGGGUGAGUAACACGUGUGUAACCUGCCCUUGACUUUGGGAUAACUUCAGGAAACUGGGGCUAAUACCGGAUAGGAGCUCCUGCUGCAUGGUGGGGGUUGGAAAGUUUCGGCGGUGGGGGAUGGACUCGCGGCUUAUCAGCUUGUUGGUGGGGUAGUGGCUUACCAAGGCUUUGACGGGUAGCCGGCCUGAGAGGGUGACCGGCCACAUUGGGACUGCGAUACGGCCCAGACUCGUACGGGAGGCAGCAGUGGGGAAUAUUGCACAAUGGGCGGAAGCCUGAUGCAGCAACGCCGCGUGCGGGAUGACGGCCUUCGGGUUGUAAACCGCUUUCGACUGUGACGAAGAGUGAGUGACGGUAAUGGGUAAAGAAGCACCGGCUAACUACGUG